AUGGAAACAGGUAGGUAAUAUUAGGUCUGUGCAAUAGAUCACUCUCCCUUUUGACUUGAAAAAUUAACUCAGCGAAAUCAACUCCCAGCAUCAUCAUCAUCAUACUGCAGCCGAACGAAUUUUCCCGGAAAAAAGCGAAUGUUAACAAGACCCAAGCGAAUUGCAGCCACAAUAAAAAUCACACACUGAAAAUUCUUCAUCUGACUAUUGCUGAAAUUUGGAGCGAAAACGAACCGAAUUCAGGACCCCAGGGAUAAACACAACUUUGCUUGCAGUUUGCCACAAAGUGACUUUCACACCGACGGAGCCGUAAAAUGAAAUCAGGGGCUGAGAUUUGUGGAUGCUCAGGUGGCAGAGGUGGAGCUGAUGAGUUUUAGCAAAAGGAAGAGCAUAUGUUUUAUCACUAAGCUGAAGGUUUUUACAUGGGAAGGGUAUACG
Drosophila simulans is the source of this 438-nucleotide long non-coding RNA. RefSeq lists it as uncharacterized. The record is from RefSeq and is a predicted model, not a curated record. The transcript is spliced from 3 exons. NCBI's taxonomy places the organism in Eukaryota, Metazoa, Arthropoda, Insecta, Diptera, Drosophilidae.